UACGUAGGGGGCAAGCGUUAUCCGGAUUUACUGGGUGUAAAGGGAGCGUAGACGGAUGGACAAGUCUGAUGUGAAAUGCUGGGGCUCAACCCCGGGACUGCAUUGGAAACUGCCCGUCUUGAGUGCCGGAGAGGUAAGCGGAAUUCCUAGUGUAGCGGUGAAAUGCGUAGAUAUUAGGAGGAACACCAGUGGCGAAGGCGGCUUACUGGACGGUAACUGACGUUGAGGCUCGAAAGCGUGGGGAGCAAACAGG
This 253-nucleotide ribosomal RNA is filed under the name Blautia luti. Its description in RNAcentral is "partial 16S ribosomal RNA". It matches the Rfam family "Bacterial small subunit ribosomal RNA", at positions 524 to 776 of the family's 1533-position model. Lineage: Bacteria; Bacillati; Bacillota; Clostridia; Lachnospirales; Lachnospiraceae. The record is from RNAcentral.